RNAcentral lists this ribosomal RNA (1131 nucleotides) under Halomonas sp. Its description in RNAcentral is "bacterial SSU rRNA". It matches the Rfam family "Bacterial small subunit ribosomal RNA", at positions 33 to 1166 of the family's 1533-position model. The record is from RNAcentral. Lineage: Bacteria; Pseudomonadati; Pseudomonadota; Gammaproteobacteria; Oceanospirillales; Halomonadaceae.
GCCCUGGCGGCAGCUACCAUGCAGUCGAGCGGUAACAGAUCCAGCUUGCUGGAUGCUGACGAGCGGCGGACGGGUGAGUAAUGCAUAGGAAUCUGCCCGGUAGUGGGGGAUAACCUGGGGAAACCCAGGCUAAUACCGCAUACGUCCUACGGGAGAAAGGGGGCUUCGGCUCCCGCUAUCGGAUGAGCCUAUGUCGGAUUAGCUAGUUGGUGAGGUAACGGCUCACCAAGGCCACGAUCCGUAGCUGGUCUGAGAGGAUGAUCAGCCACAUCGGGACUGAGACACGGCCCGAACUCCUACGGGAGGCAGCAGUGGGGAAUAUUGGACAAUGGGGGGAACCCUGAUCCAGCCAUGCCGCGUGUGUGAAGAAGGCCCUCGGGUUGUAAAGCACUUUCAGCGAGGAAGAACGCCUAGCGGUUAAUACCCGCUAGGAAAGACAUCACUCGCAGAAGAAGCACCGGCUAACUCCGUGCCAGCAGCCGCGGUAAUACGGAGGGUGCAAGCGUUAAUCGGAAUUACUGGGCGUAAAGCGCGCGUAGGUGGCUUGAUAAGCCGGUUGUGAAAGCCCCGGGCUCAACCUGGGAACGGCAUCCGGAACUGUCAAGCUAGAGUGCAGGAGAGGAAGGUAGAAUUCCCGGUGUAGCGGUGAAAUGCGUAGAGAUCGGGAGGAAUACCAGUGGCGAAGGCGGCCUUCUGGACUGACACUGACACUGAGGUGCGAAAGCGUGGGUAGCAAACAGGAUUAGAUACCCUGGUAGUCCACGCCGUAAACGAUGUCGACCAGCCGUUGGGUGCCUAGCGCACUUUGUGGCGAAGUUAACGCGAUAAGUCGACCGCCUGGGGAGUACGGCCGCAAGGUUAAAACUCAAAUGAAUUGACGGGGGCCCGCACAAGCGGUGGAGCAUGUGGUUUAAUUCGAUGCAACGCGAAGAACCUUACCUACUCUUGACAUCCUGCGAAUUCGGUAGAGAUACCUUAGUGCCUUCGGGAACGCAGAGACAGGUGCUGCAUGGCUGUCGUCAGCUCGUGUUGUGAAAUGUUGGGUUAAGUCCCGUAACGAGCGCAACCCUUGUCCUUAUUUGCCAGCGCGUAAUGGCGGGAACUCUAAGGAGACUGCCGGUGACAAACCGA